GCCGGGCGCGGUGGCGGGCGCCUGUAGUCCCAGCUACUCGGGAGGCUGAGGCAGGAGAAUGGCGUGAACCCGGGAGAUGGAGCUUGCAGUGAGCUGAGAUCCGGCCACUGCACUCCAGCCUGGGCGACAGAGCCAGACUCUGUCUCAA
RNAcentral lists this small RNA (148 nucleotides) under Macaca fascicularis (crab-eating macaque). Its description in RNAcentral is "Metazoan signal recognition particle RNA (ENSMFAG00000055381.1)". Lineage: Eukaryota; Metazoa; Chordata; Mammalia; Primates; Cercopithecidae. The record is from Rfam by way of RNAcentral.